CCUACUGGGGGCAGCAGUGGGGAAUCUUGGGCAAUGGGCGAAAGCCUGACCCAGCGACGCCGCGUGGGGGAUGAAGGCCUUCGGGUUGUAAAGCUCUUUCGGCAGGAACGAAACGGCGGACUCUAACAUAGUCUGUCAAUGACGGUACCUGAAGAAGAAGCACCGGCUAACUACGUGCCAGCAGCCGCGGUAAUACGUAGGGUGCGAGCGUUAAUCGGAAUUACUGGGCGUAAAGCGUGCGCAGGCGGCUUUGUAAGACGGAGGUGAAAUCCCUGGGCUUAACCGAGGAACUGCGUUCGUGACUGCAAAGCUAUAGUGCGGCAGAGGGGGGUGGAAUUCCUGGGGUAGCAGUGAAAUGCGUAGAGAUCAGGAGGAACACCGAUGGCGAAGGCAGCCCCCUGGGUUGGCACUGACGCUCAUGCACGAAAGCGUGGGGAGCGAACGGGAUUAGAUACCCCAGUAGU
Molecule: ribosomal RNA, 464 nt
Filed under: uncultured Rhodocyclaceae bacterium
Lineage: Bacteria; Pseudomonadati; Pseudomonadota; Betaproteobacteria; Rhodocyclales; Rhodocyclaceae
Description: partial 16S ribosomal RNA
Rfam family: Bacterial small subunit ribosomal RNA
Source: RNAcentral